This is a long non-coding RNA of Lates calcarifer (barramundi perch), 821 nucleotides long. RefSeq lists it as uncharacterized. Lineage: Eukaryota; Metazoa; Chordata; Actinopteri; Centropomidae. The transcript is spliced from 4 exons. The record is from RefSeq and is a predicted model, not a curated record.
GGGGGCUACCGGCUGAAAAGAGGAGCAAACAAGAAGUGCCUGAGCCCUGGUGAGUCACUGUAGGAUACGGGAGGUUGGUGUUGCCAGAACGGCGGCAAGCUGACGAGGUGGUUGCAGUGGCAGUCCGAUUUGAAUACAAUAGUCAGAGCUGCGUGAAUGAACUGGAAUGGAACAGGAGUAAAGAUCUUUUAUAGGACACAAUGAUUUACAGGAUGAGGGGGCGCAGACACUCCAUCACCACAGUUGGGAAGUGCAGGCUCAUCAGUCUGCCUGGUGGAGCUGGCAAGCAAAGCUGGCUUCCUCAGGACCACGUUGUCACCACAGGGACGACAACAACAGCAGCAACAGUGGUCUCAGCGGCAGUUGAACAGCUGCUCCUUCAUCUGAAAAUUGCACCUCACUCAGCGGGGCCCGCCAAGGAGGUCCAUUCCAGUUUUUGCUCUCAUCAAGGAGCCCUUUCAGUGUUUGAUUAAAUGUAGUCAUACGUCUCAGUCUAUGCGGUGACACCACUGAUUUUUCACUUUUCAAGUGUGUAUAAAUUAGUGACCGGACUCAGUAUGUAGGACCUCUGUGCAGUAUGUUAUUGCAGCAGUAAAAGAAUGUCUGCUAAUCUUUGAGGUGAAAUAAAUGUAUAUCCAUCCAUCCAUUAUCUAUACUGCUUAUCCGUUAGGGAUAAGGCUGCAGCGGGGCUGGAGCCUAUCCCAGCUGUCAUUGGGUGAGAGGCAGGGUACACCCUGUAGGAAUCUACAGGUAAAUGUAUAUUUCCAUCAAAAACUAACCAGAAAUACCUAUGAAAGAUACCUUUAUCUUGACUCUAUGUG